Molecule: ribosomal RNA, 460 nt
Filed under: uncultured bacterium
Lineage: Bacteria
Description: partial 16S ribosomal RNA
Rfam family: Bacterial small subunit ribosomal RNA
Source: RNAcentral
CCUACGGGAGGCUGCAGUGAGGAAUAUUGGUCAAUGGGCGGGAGCCUGAACCAGCCAAGUCGCGUGAGGGACGACGGUCCUAUGGAUUGUAAACCUCUUUUGUCGGGGAACAAAGGCGCCCACGGGUGGGCGGAUGAGUGUACCCGAAGAAUAAGCUCAGGCUAACUACGUGCCAGCAGCCGCGGUAAUACGUAGGGGGCGAGAGUUGUCCGGAUUUACUGGGUGUAAAGGGCGUGCAGCCGGGAGUACAAGUCAGAUGUGAAAGCCCGCGGCUCAACCGCGGAACUGCAUUUGAAACGGUAUUUCUUGAGUACUGGAGAGGCAGACGGAAUUCCUAGUGUAGCGGUGAAAUGCGUAGAUAUUAGGAGGAACACCAGUGGCGAAGGCGGUCUGCUGGACAGCAACUGACGGUGAGGCGCGAAAGCGUGGGGAGCAAACAGGAUUAGAUACCCGAGUAGUC